This 255-nucleotide ribosomal RNA is filed under the name uncultured eukaryote. RNAcentral describes it as "partial small subunit ribosomal RNA". The record is from RNAcentral.
GCUAUAUCUGGCCCAUUCGAUGCCUCAUGUUCCGUUGUUCGUCUCGGACAAAUUCAGAGGCAAGUCGAAGCGAGGUUUGUACGGCGACGUCAUCGCGGAAAUUGACUGGAGCGUCGGGCAAAUCCUGGAGAGGCUCAAAGCGAUCGGCAUCGAUGAGCGGACGCUGGUCGUCUACACCUCGGACAACGGGCCGUGGCUGGACUACGGCAUCGACGGUGGCUCGGCCGGUCCUCUUCGGGAUGGCAAGAGCACGGU